ACGUCAAAUGGUAAAUACUUAAUAAUGAUAAGCUGAGAUAUAACACAGUAUUAAGCCAAGCCUUCAAUUCACACAAGCUUUUCAAUGAUUUCACAUUACGCCACACAAGGGACGAGACAUUGCAGUGUAAGUCCCGCCAGGACCAGUUUGAAUUUGGCGCUUCAAUCAGUAACAUCUAGAUACUUUGACAAUUACAGUUAUAAUGGCCUGAGAUUUAUUUUUACACGCUUAUAAUUCUUUAUAUUUAAUUUUCUAUUAGUUUAGUAUAAUAUAAAAGAAGUUGGUGCUUGUUAUUGAAAGCUAAGUGUGUUGUGGAUAGGUUUGCCUGCGUACUGUGCGGAGCAGGCUGGGACGGACGACACAACCAGACGUCAGACACAAGGCACUAGGUUAAAAGGGUGCCAUAAACUGGUGCUUUAUUUAACGUAUUUUCGCAGAACAAGACAGUGACAGGGGCCGUGGUGGGUGCCUGCGUGUGCUGGUGCAAGCUUGGUGCCUGCCGGGAGGUGCCUGCAGUGCCACAAGGGAUAAUAUUGGUAAGAAACCGGCCCACCACUUGUCCAGCCAGCUAAUUUGCACAGUGUGAUGUAACAGGCGGUAACUGUGAUAGUGUUGUUACGUGUCACCCACAACAACAACAACACAGGGCUGUCAGAUACAAAUGUAGAGGGACGAAAUAGGGAAGCAGGAAGACCACCACCACCAUCACCACCAGCAGUGUGGAAGAAAGUUUAGGCAAGCGAAGAAAGUUGGAAAAUUAAUAAUUAAACGCUUGCUGUCUUUUAUUAUCUUGAGUAUAAAAUGGUUAUAUGACAAUCUCUCUCUCUCUCUCUCUCUCUCUCUCUCUCUCUCUCUCUCUCUCUCUCUCUCUCUCUCUCUCUCUCUCUCUCUCUCUCUCUCUCUCUCUCUCUCUCUCUCUCUCUCUCUCAGCUUUGUAUUAGUUACCCGUUGACAGAAGUGACAGCCGCGUUUUCUCUUGUCAGAUGUAAACAAAUCGGUAGUUUCCUUCCAGCUGGUGAUAAAACUCUUUCUCGCUCUUCCUCACUCUCCCACGUCACGGAAGCAGUGUGUGUGUGUGUGUGUGUGUGUGUGUGAAGAAGAAAAUGUUAUAUUAUAUCUACGUGUUUAAAAGUUUCCUUCAUUUAAGUCCAAAGAGGCUGGCUGGCUGAUGCUAAGGAAGGAAGAAAGGGGUGGUGUUUAGGGGUCUGGGAUGGAAAGCGAGUGAUGUGUUUUGUAGCCUUCAGAUAAAAAAUAUUAACAAAGUUUACACAGUGGGAAAAUUUUGGUGGUGAGAGAGAAAAUGACUAAAAUAUUACCUCAAAUUUAACCAAACGUGGUGGAGCUUCACACUCCUCAGCUGACCCUAAUCAAACCAAGCCUAUCCCAAAGAAGCCUACCCUAACUUCUGUCUGGUGCUUCCUCCUCCCCAAGACUGGCUAUCUCGUGUCUUAAUCCCAAGCUGGCCUAACCAAACUUUACCUAACCUAACCUAAGCAAUUCUAACCUAGCCAAACCUUACCUAAGCAAGCCUAACCUAGCCAAGCCUUACCUAACCUAACCUAACCUAGCCAAACCUUACCUAAGCAAGCCUAACCUAGCCAAGCCUUACCUAACCUAACCUAACCUAACCUCACCUAACCUAACCUAAAGAAACCUAGCCAAACCUAACAUAACCUAGCCUAACCAAACCUAACCUAACCUACAUCCUCUUCCCACGGCCCCACUUAACCAAACCUAAUGUAACUUUCAGAGCAACGGCAACCCUCCGAUCCGGCAAGCAAGUUGGCGGCAGCGAUGGCGGUGGCGGCGGCAGUGGUGGUGAGGUGGACGGCAGGGACAGAGGGGCAGUACAGGCUGCGGACAUCAAGGAGAAGAGGAACGCACGGACAAGCAAGGUGUUAUUCGGCAGUCUGAUCCUGGACCUGCUCGGCUUGAAGGUGGUGCUGCCCGUGUCUCCUGCUCUCCUCGACUGUUACUCCAAGCACAACACCAGCGGCUUGUAUUCCUCUCAGCUCUCCUGUGUGACUUAUUACCAGCAUAUCAUCGGUUUCGCUGCGAGGUUCCUUUCUGUCUUGUUUGGGCAGAAGGAGGAGGGACAUCGGUGCCAGUUUGACCGAGGCUUGGGAGGUGAUCAAUCCUAGGGCUCUGUUCUCCAUCAGCUGUGUCAAGGGCCUGGGCAGAGAAGCCUGGAGUUAACGCUGAUCUUCGCGACCCACCACAAGCAUAGUUACGACUCGUUGGCGCAGGACCGCAAGUUUUCCUUCCUGGGCCUGGUCAUGGCAAUUACACAGAGAGGGUUUAUGCGAAGUGUUAAGACUGGAACUGAAAAAGCACCUGCCAAUUAGGCACACACCUACAUUGUGAUGCAGCUCCUUGGAGGUGGAGAGCUGGCUGCCUCAGAGGAUCAGGAAACACGAGAGGUUCACAGAGGCUCGCCUCGGGCUUCGGUCGUCGUGAGGAACCUGGUGUCAGCAGUUCACUACGUGCACAGGAAAAGCAUCAGUGUUCACGGAGACCUAAAGCCAGACAGGGGUGAAAAGGGUUGGUGUUGAGGAUAGACAGAAAAGAAAAGAAAGGAAAGGUAAAAAAAGGAAGUUUUUUUGCAUUGAUUUUCCAUCUGCUUAUUUUAAAGAAUUUAUUGCAUGGAAUAUUAUUGAUCUCCAUCAUUUGUAUGGCCUUUAUAAUAAAAAGUAUGAAU
This is a long non-coding RNA of Scylla paramamosain (green mud crab), 2698 nucleotides long. RefSeq lists it as uncharacterized. Lineage: Eukaryota; Metazoa; Arthropoda; Malacostraca; Decapoda; Portunidae. The record is from RefSeq and is a predicted model, not a curated record. The transcript has 6 exons.